GACGAACGCUGGCGGCGUGCCUAAUACAUGCAAGUAGAACGCUGAAGAGAGGAGCUUGCUCUUCUUGGAUGAGUUGCGAACGGGUGAGUAACGCGUAGGUAACCUGCCUUGUAGCGGGGGAUAACUAUUGGAAACGAUAGCUAAUACCGCAUAACAAUGGAUGACCCAUGUCAUUUAUUUGAAAGGGGCAAAUGCUCCACUACAAGAUGGACCUGCGUUGUAUUAGCUAGUAGGUGAGGUAACGGCUCACCUAGGCGACGAUACAUAGCCGACCUGAGAGGGUGAUCGGCCACACUGGGACUGAGACACGGCCCAGACUCCUACGGGAGGCAGCAGUAGGGAAUCUUCGGCAAUGGGGGCAACCCUGACCGAGCAACGCCGCGUGAGUGAAGAAGGUUUUCGGAUCGUAAAGCUCUGUUGUAAGUCAAGAACGAGUGUGGGAGUGGAAAGUUCACACUGUGACGGUAGCUUACCAGAAAGGGACGGCUAACUACGUG
RNAcentral lists this ribosomal RNA (497 nucleotides) under uncultured bacterium. RNAcentral describes it as "partial 16S ribosomal RNA". It matches the Rfam family "Bacterial small subunit ribosomal RNA", at positions 28 to 507 of the family's 1533-position model. The record is from RNAcentral.